This is a long non-coding RNA of Mus musculus (house mouse), 321 nucleotides long. RefSeq annotates it as predicted gene, 46990. The record is from RefSeq and is a predicted model, not a curated record. Lineage: Eukaryota; Metazoa; Chordata; Mammalia; Rodentia; Muridae. The transcript is spliced from 3 exons.
UUCCUGUAUCUCAUCAAGAGAUUCAUUAAUUUACUCUGUAAAGGCAUCUAUCAUAUAUAUAAGCACUGAAGAUCCACUCUCAUUUUGCCUAUGACCACCUAGUGGACACAUACCAAAGAACCUGCAAUUGAGUCUCUUGCUGUCCUGAAACCAUACUAUACAGCAGACGGUCUAGAACUCAGAGACGAUCCUCAUGCAUCUGUAUCCUUAGUGCUGGUAUUGAAGAUGUGCUUCACCACACCUGAGUAAAAGACCAAGUUCUUAGCACAUAGUAUUUGAAGGAAAUGGAUCCAUAUUCCAAGCUGUAGCAAAGUCCAAGGU